GUGUGUGGAUGGUGUUCAGCACAAGGGACAGGUGUUUUUACUUGUCUAUUUAUGGUGUUGAGCACCAUGGACAGGUGUGUUUACCU
Molecule: microRNA precursor, 86 nt
Filed under: Branchiostoma floridae (Florida lancelet)
Lineage: Eukaryota; Metazoa; Chordata; Leptocardii; Amphioxiformes; Branchiostomatidae
Description: mir-2060 microRNA precursor family
Rfam family: mir-2060 microRNA precursor family
Source: Rfam by way of RNAcentral